AGUCACUGACAUUAGAUACCCGGGUAGUCCCAGCCGUAAACAAUGUGCGUUAGGUGUGUCGGUAACCACGUGUUACUGAUGCGCCGAAGAGAAAUCGUGAAACGCACCACCUGGGAAGUACGGUCGCAAGGCUGAAACUUAAAGGAAUUGCGGGGGAGCACCACAACAGGUGGAGCCUGCGGUUUAAUUGGAUUCAACGCCGGACAUCUCACCGGAUAAGACAGCUGAAUGAUUGUCAAUCUGAAGGUUUUACAUGACUAGCUG
This 264-nucleotide ribosomal RNA is filed under the name uncultured archaeon. Its description in RNAcentral is "partial 16S ribosomal RNA". It matches the Rfam family "Archaeal small subunit ribosomal RNA", at positions 719 to 982 of the family's 1478-position model. The record is from RNAcentral.